AUUGAACGCUGGCGGCAUGCCUUACACAUGCAAGUCGAACGGCAGCACGGGUGCUUGCACCUGGUGGCGAGUGGCGAACGGGUGAGUAAUACAUCGGAACAUGUCCUGUAGUGGGGAAUAGCCCGGCGAAAGCCGGAUUAAUACCGCAUACGAUCUACGGAUGAAAGCGGGGGACCUUCGGGCCUCGCGCUAUAGGGUUGGCCGAUGGCUGAUUAGCUAGUUGGUGGGGUAAAGGCCUACCAAGGCGACGAUCAGUAGCUGGUCUGAGAGGACGACCAGCCACACUGGGACUGAGACACGGCCCAGACUCCUACGGGAGGCAGCAGUGGGGAAUUUUGGACAAUGGGCGAAAGCCUGAUCCAGCAAUGCCGCGGGUGUGAAGAAGGCCUUCGGGUUGUAAAGCACUUUUGUCCGGAAAGAAAUCCUUGGCCCUAAUACGGUCGGGGGAUGACGGUACCGGAAGAAUAAGCACCGGCUAACUACGU
Molecule: ribosomal RNA, 485 nt
Filed under: uncultured bacterium
Lineage: Bacteria
Description: partial 16S ribosomal RNA
Rfam family: Bacterial small subunit ribosomal RNA
Source: RNAcentral